RNAcentral lists this ribosomal RNA (467 nucleotides) under uncultured bacterium. Its description in RNAcentral is "bacterial SSU rRNA". It matches the Rfam family "Bacterial small subunit ribosomal RNA", at positions 34 to 518 of the family's 1533-position model. The record is from RNAcentral.
CGCUGGCGGCGUGCCUAACACAUGCAAGUCGAGCGAGGAGAUCCUCGGGAUGAUCCUAGCGGCGGACGGGUGAGUAACACGUGGGCAACCUGCCUCAUAGAGAGGAAUAGCCUUCCGAAAGGGAGAUUAAUACCUCAUAACAUUGCAGUUUCGCAUGGAACAGCAAUUAAAGGAGUAAUCCGCUAUGAGAUGGGCCCGCGGCGCAUUAGCUAGUUGGUGAGGUAACGGCUCACCAAGGCGACGAUGCGUAGCCGACCUGAGAGGGUGAUCGGCCACAUUGGGACUGAGACACGGCCCAGACUCCUACGGGAGGCAGCAGGUGGGGAAUAUUGCACAAUGGGGGAAACCCUGAUGCAAGCAACGCCGCGUGAGUGAUGACGGCCUUCGGGUUGUAAAGCUCUGUCUUCAGGGACGAUAAUGACGGUACCUGAGGAGGAAGCCACGGCUAACUACGUGCCAGCCGCAGC